GGCUUCAUAGCUCAGUUGGUUACAGCGUCGCACAGGUAUCGCGAGAUCACAGGCUCAAACCCCGUUGAAGUUC
Molecule: transfer RNA, 73 nt
Filed under: Acropora cervicornis
Lineage: Eukaryota; Metazoa; Cnidaria; Anthozoa; Scleractinia; Acroporidae
Description: tRNA-Thr
Source: RNAcentral